UUUGAUUUCACUAGCCGUCGUAGAAGGGAAAGAGGAUCUAUUUCGGGGUUGGUGGCACGAUUGAAAUUAGAAUUCUUCAGGCAAUCGGCAGGCGAUCCCUCUCCAAGAACAAAUCCAGAGGGAAAUCCGAUUCAGCGAGUGAAGUCACCUGAGGGUUAGAACCCAAUGUGAUCUUAGAGCUAUUGACCACCAUCCCUAGUGGUAGCAUGGUUUGACUCAAGACUUUCCUUCUGAGAUGGGAAAGCUUACCUUCUUGAAUAAGAAAGAACAUUAAUAGAAUGAAUGGCUAAGCCAAGACCUUAAUAGAGUGAGUGGCCAAGCCGAGAAUCUGCUCUUUGAAAACUUGUGUCGAGAGGGAGAGUUCUUCUUUCUCGGCAGUGAAGUUAGCUCGAAAGGGAUCGAUCCCACACUCGGCUCAAUGCGAUAAAGAAGAAAGGCAAUUGCUCUGACUUCCCGAGGGUCACGAACGGUAGAACAAGAAUUAAGGAAGUAAGCAA
RNAcentral lists this long non-coding RNA (497 nucleotides) under Jatropha curcas. Its description in RNAcentral is "long non-coding RNA (JCUR_LNC002395)". Lineage: Eukaryota; Viridiplantae; Streptophyta; Magnoliopsida; Malpighiales; Euphorbiaceae. The record is from RNAcentral.